This is a non-coding RNA of Camellia sinensis, 3225 nucleotides long. The record is from RefSeq and is a predicted model, not a curated record. NCBI's taxonomy places the organism in Eukaryota, Viridiplantae, Streptophyta, Magnoliopsida, Ericales, Theaceae.
CUAGUGUUGUUUUCAAACAUUUCUGAUUUUUGGGUUUUCAAUCUUCACAAAUUUAUUUGAACAACAUAAUCUGGCUUUAUUGUUAAUUUGGAUAAAAAUUUGCUAUUUUAUUUGAACAGAAAUUUCGUAAAUAUAUUUGGGUUUACUUUAUUUGAGUUAAGAAAGUGAAAGACAUUGAUCUUGUGACUACAAUGAAAUGAAAAUGAUAGAAAAUGAUGAAGAUUUGAGGAAGAAAACCGAGAGAGAGAGAGAGAGAGAGAGAGAGAGAGUUGAAUUUUGCUUUGGUUUCAUUCUAUUCUUUGAAGAAAAAAACAAAUUUUAUCCUGUGUGAGUGCUGGAACUUUUACUUUGACUGUCACUACUGUGGUAAAAGUGUGGCCUUACUUAUGCCUAUAUCUAUCACAAGCAUGUUUGAAUCUUUCUUGCUCUAUGGAUAUCUAUCUGUUUAGGUGGUUUAUGAUUGUUAGUUGUUGUUGUUGUUGUUGUUGGAUAUCAAUUAUGAAGAUUAACAACUCUUUUAGAUAUGUGCUCUGUUGGUGUUGUUAUCUUUAAUGUCUUUUAUGUGAUUUGGUGGAAUUGUUGUUAGUGUAUUGGUUGGUUCUUUCUUUUUUUUUGAAUUUCUCUUGUAAAUCUUUUUAUUGUGAAUAUAUAUAUGGUGACAAAAAUUAGUGAAGAAAACAAAUUUCAUCCUAAAAAAACUAUAGGUGAAAAUGGAAGAAACAAAAGACUUUUCAGGACUAGUUUUGAGAAACCCAAAAGAAAAGAGGCCAUUCAAGUGAAGUACCCUUCUCCGAAUGAGAUGCUCUCACAACUCUCUAUGUCUGCCAGAGAUCCAAUGAAAAACAACUUGUUGCUUUCUAGUGUUAGUUUUUUUCUCUAAUUUCUGGAAUUCAUUGUGCCUAGAGAAUUCCAUUUCACAAGAGCACAAAAAAUUAACCAAGAAAGUGUCUGGCAAGCAUAUUAGGAAAAAAUUAUCUAAAUCGAAAACUACAGAAACAUCUGUGGUUAAGGUUAUGGAAGACUCUUAUUGGACUGACAUGAUUGUUCAAAGCAACACCAAAGAAGAGCAUAUACUAGUUAAACCUAAGGUCCCAAACAAAAAAAGUGCCCCACUGUUGAACCAGAAGCAGCUCUUGAGUUGGGUAUACAAUUGGAUUAUAAACAGGAAACUACUGUUGUGGAUUGUCAAUUGAAGGGAAAAUCAGCAGGUAAUAUAGAUGAGAAAUGCGAGGAAGAGGAGACUCCAACCACAAUAAUUCUGAACUUCACUACAGUUUUUGAUUUACUUGUUUAUUUACUAGUUCAGAGUCCUCCAGGUUGAUGGUUCAGCGGUUGAGGAAAGAUCCACUGAAUUAGGUAUAUAUAUAUAUAUAUGUAUAUCGUUUUUUUUUCUAUAUGUUAUUUAACUCAAAACUUGAGUAAUUUUCUUGCCUUACAAAAGUAUGAAUGACUAGUGAAGAGCAUGGACAUGUGGCACUCCAAGAGCACCCAAUAAUUUUUCCUUUGAGAAUCAAUUGCUUGUACCCUCCAUCAUUUAUUUUGGCUAGGGAUGCUAUCUACAUUGUGGGAGUUCUCACUAUUUCCAUUUAUAUCUAUUUUCUCUUAUAGAUUCUCAAGCAACAUCCUCUGAAAAAAAUGUUAUACCUCUAACUUUUUGAAUGAGAGUUGCAACAGCAAUAGCUCUUGGUGCUGCUGUUGUGCGUGCCAAGUUAUUGGCAGAUCAGGAAGACCAAGAAAUAGAAUGUUUAGUGGCAACCAUUAUCGAAACACAAUUGAAGAAGUUGCAACGCAAAAUCAAGCAUUUUGAUGAUUUAGAGCUUAUAAUGGAGAAGGAAUACACCCAACUGGAGGAUAUAAAAGAGUCUAUGAUAGUGGAGUGGAUGAAUGUUUUGCACAAAGUAUUCAAAGUAGGGACAUCUAGAUGGAAGGAUCAAACUUCUGUAGAACCACCUUAGACAGGUAGUGUACUUUGAUUGAGUCUAACUUGAAAAUUCUGGUCCUUUUAGAUGUUUAUUAUGUUAGGAAAAGAAAAGGGGAGAUCCAACAUAAACCUGCUGGGCUUCUAGUGUAAGUAACAUGUUUAGUUCUUCAUUCUCAAGUAGACAGAACUUGCUUUUGGAUGUCAAUUCAUUUGAGAACUAUUGUGGAUGAUUCUUGUUGAUGCUAAUGGUUAUAUUUCAAAAUGUUAUGCUCUUCCAUGUAGAUAUAGUGAAAAAGAAUAACUAUGUGUAAUGGUUUUGGAACAAUUUGUGUCUAUUUUUUGCUUAUUUAGACAACCUGAAGCAACUCUUGAGUUGGGUAUACAAUUGGAUUAUAAACAGGAAACUGCUGUUAUGGGUUGUCAAUUGGAGGGAAAAUAAACAGGUGACAUGGAUGAGAAAUGCGAGAAAAAGAAGACUUCGACCACACUAAUUCUGAACUUCACUGACUUGGAGUCUGUCCCUUCCGAAUCAAUUCUCAAUGAGAUAUUUAGCCACUAUGGACCUUUGAAUGAAUCAGUCAUCGAGGUCAUGAAGAAGAGCAAACGUGCUAAAGUGGUCUUCAAGAGGCGUUCUAAUGUUGAAACAACUUUCAAUAUUAUUGAAAAAAUUAGCAUUUUGGGGCCUUCACUAGUCAAUUACCGCCUUAAUUACUCAUCUUCUACACCGUCUAAAACUUCUACUUCUGCCACAAAGCGAGACAGAAAGGGUGCAACAUCUGUGGAAGAAAAUACUACUUGAUAAUUGAUGCAGAUCAGUUUAGGAUAAUAUGAUAAAGAUCCAAGCUGAACAUUACUCCCAACCUAGUAUCGUUCCAAUUACUUCAGAGGAGCUAUCUGUGAAGGUGCUCAAGCGAAGGUCGGGAUAUGUUAAAGGACUUGGGUUGAGGCCUUCCUUCUCUGUCAAGACUACCAGUGCUUCGACUAAUAGUGACUAUGUGAGGCAUCUAGAGAUGGAAAUACAAGAGCAAAAAGACAAAAUUCAGUCACAAAAAGGGGAAAUUACAUCACAGAAACAUGAAAUUCAAGCACGAAAAAAAAGAAAUUAGUGUGAUAGGGAAGAUGAAUGAGUCGCUUGAGGGGAAUUUUGAAAUGACAUCAUACAUCACGGAAUUUCUUAAGAAGCAAGGUUUCAAAGGACAAUUUAGAGGAGAAGGUAUCCCAUGAACUCGUAGACCACCAUUUUGAUUGGUUUUUGAUGACGUUUAGAAGCAUACUUGCAAAUCAAGAUCAAGUGUUGAAUUUUU